ACAAUACUUUCUUCGUCCGAAAAUAUUUAUCAUAAAAAGAAUGUAUCUAGAUGUAUUUUAGUUCUAGAUGCAUCUUUUUUUAUUUAUUUAUGCGACAAAUAAUUCCGGACGCACGAAGUACGUG
Non-coding RNA from Hordeum vulgare subsp. vulgare (domesticated barley), 124 nucleotides. The record is from Rfam. NCBI's taxonomy places the organism in Eukaryota, Viridiplantae, Streptophyta, Magnoliopsida, Poales, Poaceae.